Molecule: long non-coding RNA, 436 nt
Organism: Salvelinus sp. IW2-2015
Lineage: Eukaryota; Metazoa; Chordata; Actinopteri; Salmoniformes; Salmonidae
Source: RefSeq, a predicted model, not a curated record
CGUGAGGAGGAAGAGGCAGAGGAUGGAGACCAGACUGACAGCAAUCCGGACCUUCUCUCUGAUACUAACGCCACACAGGAAAAAGAAGGUAGAGGAGCUGUGUGGUACCUCAGUGGCGGUGAUGAAGAAGUUCCAUGGCAGCAGUGUCCCCAGUCCCAGGAUAAAGAUGAUGACGGCCACAGCACAGCCUCUGUUAGGGGAGAGAAGACAUCACUCACAUCUCACAUAGCAACCACUCCAACAGCCGCUGGUAGCACUGCGUUUUAAGUUCGUCUUGUCUCGUCAAGCCUACCAGCCCUAGUCUCUGUUUUCUAGCCCUCCUGGUUCCGACCUUUUCUGCCUGCCGCCCUGUACCUUUCGGACUCUGACCUGGUUAAUGAACAUCUGCCUGUCCUCGACCUGCCCCUUGUAUUUGAAUAAAUACCAGAGACUCUAA